Molecule: ribosomal RNA, 468 nt
Filed under: uncultured bacterium
Lineage: Bacteria
Description: bacterial SSU rRNA
Rfam family: Bacterial small subunit ribosomal RNA
Source: RNAcentral
UUCCAGACUCCUACGGGAGGCAGCAGUGAGGAAUAUUGGUCAAUGGGCGGAAGCCUGAACCAGCCAAGUCGCGUGAGGGAAGAAGGCCCUGCGGGUCGCAGACCUCUUUGGACGGGGAGCAAGGCCGCCGACGUGUCGGCGGAAGGAGAGUACCCGUAGAACAAGCAUCGGCUAACUCCGUGCCAGCAGCCGCGGUAAUACGGAGGAUGCGAGCGUUAUCCGGAUUUAUUGGGUUUAAAGGGUGCGUAGGCGGGCAUUUAAGCCGGCGGUCAAAUGUCGGGGCUCAACCCCGGCCUGCCGUCGGAACUGGGUGCCUUGAGUGGGCGAGAAGUAUGCGGAAUGCGUGGUGCAGCGGUGAAAUGCAUAGAUAUCACGCAGAACUCCGAUUGCGAAGGCAGCGUACCGGCGCCCAACUGACGCUGAAGCACGAAGGCGUGGGUAUCGAACAGGAUUAGAUACCCGAGUACU